UACGUAGGGCGCAAGCGUUAUCCGGAAUUAUUGGGCGUAAAGAGCUCGUAGGCGGUUUGUCGCGUCUGCCGUGAAAGUCCGGGGCUCAACUCCGGAUCUGCGGUGGGUACGGGCAGACUAGAGUGAUGUAGGGGAGACUGGAAUUCCUGGUGUAGCGGUGAAAUGCGCAGAUAUCAGGAGGAACACCGAUGGCGAAGGCAGGUCUCUGGGCAUUAACUGACGCUGAGGAGCGAAAGCAUGGGGGGCGAACAGG
This 253-nucleotide ribosomal RNA is filed under the name uncultured bacterium. RNAcentral's name for it is "partial 16S ribosomal RNA". It matches the Rfam family "Bacterial small subunit ribosomal RNA", at positions 524 to 776 of the family's 1533-position model. The record is from RNAcentral.